This 479-nucleotide ribosomal RNA is filed under the name uncultured anaerobic ammonium-oxidizing bacterium. RNAcentral's name for it is "bacterial SSU rRNA". It matches the Rfam family "Bacterial small subunit ribosomal RNA", at positions 364 to 833 of the family's 1533-position model. The record is from RNAcentral.
UUUCGCAAUGCCCGAAAGGGUGACGAAGCGACGCCGCGUGAGUGAGGAAGGCCUUCGGGUUGUAAAGCUCUGUCAGGAGUUAAGAAAUAUAAGUGUGUUAAUACCACAUUUAUUUGACGAAGGCUCCAAAGGAAGCCACGGCUAACUCUGUGCCAGCAGCCGCGGUAAUACAGAGGUGGCAAGCGUUGUUCGGAAUUAUUGGGCGUAAAGAGCACGUAGGUGGGUUUGUAAGUCAGAUGUGAAAGCCUUCUGUUCAACGGAAGAAUUGCAUCUGAAACUGCGAGUCUUGAGUGUAGGAGGGGAGAAUGGAACCUCUGGUGGAGCGGUGAAAUGCGUAGAUAUCAGAAGGAACGCCGGCGGCGAAAGCGAUUCUCUGACCUAUUACUGACACUCGGUGUGCGAAAGCUAGGGGAGCAAACGGGAUUAGAUACCCCGGUAGUCCUAGCUGUAAACGAUGGGCACUAAGUAGAGGGGUUUUA